ACGGGAGGCAGCAGUGGGGGAUAUUGCACAAUGGGGGAAACCCUGAUGCAGCGACGCCGCGUGAGUGAAGAAGUAUUUCGGUAUGUAAAGCUCUAUCAGCAGGGAAGAAAGCCUCGCAAGAGGGAUGACGGUACCUGACCAAGAAGCCCCGGCUAACUACGUGCCAGCAGCCGCGGUAAUACGUAGGGGGCAAGCGUUAUCCGGAUUUACUGGGUGUAAAGGGAGCGUAGACGGAUCGGCAAGUCUGAUGUGAAAGCCCGGAGCUCAACUGCGGGACUGCAUUGGAAACUGUCGAUCUGGAGUACAGGAGGGGUAAGCGGAAUUCCUAGUGUAGCGGUGAAAUGCGUAGAUAUUAGGAGGAACACCGGUGGCGAAGGCGGCUUACUGGACUGUAACUGACGUUGAGGCUCGAAAGCGUGGGGAGCAAACAGGAUUAGAUACCCUGGUA
RNAcentral lists this ribosomal RNA (448 nucleotides) under uncultured Butyrivibrio sp. RNAcentral's name for it is "partial 16S ribosomal RNA". It matches the Rfam family "Bacterial small subunit ribosomal RNA", at positions 341 to 792 of the family's 1533-position model. Lineage: Bacteria; Bacillati; Bacillota; Clostridia; Lachnospirales; Lachnospiraceae. The record is from RNAcentral.